AUUGAACGCUGGCGGCAUGCCUUACACAUGCAAGUCGAACGGCAGCAUGGAAGAGCUUGCUCUUCUGAUGGCGAGUGGCGAACGGGUGAGUAAAGCAUCGGAACGUACCGUGUAGUGGGGGAUAACGUAGCGAAAGUUACGCUAAUACCGCAUACGCACUGAGGUGGAAAGCAGGGGAUCGCAAGACCUUGCGCUAUACGAGAGGCCGAUGUCAGAUUAGCGAGUUGGUAGGGUAAAGGCCGACCAAGGCGACGAUCUGUGGCGGGUCUGAGAGGAUGAUCCGCCACACUGGGACUGAGACACGGCCCAGACUCCUACGGGAGGCAGCAGUGGGGAAUUUUGGACAAUGGGGGAAACCCUGAUCCAGCCAUGCCGCGUGAGUGAAGAAGGCCUUCGGGUUGUAAAGCUCUUUCGGCUGGGAAGAAAUCGCACAGGCUAAUACUCUGUGUGGAUGACGGUACCAGCAUAAGAAGCACCGGCUAACUACGUGCCAGCCGCCGCCGUAA
This 506-nucleotide ribosomal RNA is filed under the name uncultured bacterium. RNAcentral's name for it is "partial 16S ribosomal RNA". It matches the Rfam family "Bacterial small subunit ribosomal RNA", at positions 30 to 523 of the family's 1533-position model. The record is from RNAcentral.